Molecule: RNA transcript, 2536 nt
Organism: Salvia splendens (bonfire salvia)
Lineage: Eukaryota; Viridiplantae; Streptophyta; Magnoliopsida; Lamiales; Lamiaceae
Gene name: sister chromatid cohesion 1 protein 3
Exons: 14
Source: RefSeq, a predicted model, not a curated record
CACUCCCUCUCUGUCUCUCUCUCUCGAAUAUACGCAACACACACCCACUCACCCACUAACUUCUACAGACACAGAGAGACGAAUCGAAGAAAGAGAUGUUCUACUCUCAUACGUUUUUGGCCAGGAAGGGCCCCUUGGGGACUGUUUGGUGCGCUGCCCAUUUGCAGCACAAACUCCGAAAAUCUCACUACGUCAAGACGAACGUCUCCACCACCGUCGAGAAAAUCAUGAAUCCUGAAGUGCCGAUUGCACUGAGAAUGUCAGGUCAUCUACUGCUUGGAGUUGUGCGGAUAUAUUCGAAACAAGUUGACUACUUUUUUGAAGACUGCAAUGAGAUAAGGAUCACGAUUAACAGGGUGUUUACAACCGUGUCUGUCAAUCUUCCAAGUGAUGCCACUCAAGCGCCCCUUCAUUCUGUUACUUUACCAGAAAAAUUUAAUCUUGACAACAUAGAAUUAGAUGAUUAUUGUUUAGACUGGCGUGAGGAUUCUCAUCUUAAGAGCCGUGAUGAGAUAACACUAACAGAGCAAAUUCCUACUGGAAAAGAUCCUUACAUUGUCAUCAGUGUUGAUGAGCAUGAUCUGAGGACCUCGUCGUCGAUGGAAGAAACUUCAGGAUCAGGUCCCACGCCAAUGGAGGAAGAUGAUGUUCCUCAUGGCGAGUUUGAUGCAUCUGCUGCUGGUUUUGGGACUCCAUCUCAUAGUAAUAAGUUAGGAGCAUUUGGAAGUAGAACCCCACAAGAUAUACCAAGUUUUCCUCAUGGCGAGUUUGAUGCAUCUGCUGCUGGUUUUGAGACUCCGUCUCGUAGUAAUAAUGUAGGAGCAUUUGGAAGUAGAACCCCACAAGAUACACAAAGUAUAGAAAUCAUGCGUGAUGCUCAAUAUGGUUUUGAUUUCAAUAAUUCACCAAUACUGCCUGAACGUGCUCUUCCUGACAAAUUUCUGGAGGAUCAAAUCAUCCGAGAUAAUAAGGAGAUGCAAACUCCAGUUAGAGAAGAAGUGGUGUUACCUGAUGCACGCUUUUCUUCAUCCCAUAACCAUGGAGAACAACACUCGCCUGUGCACUUGGAUUCUCAAAUACCUUUUGCCCACCAUUCACCGGAAUUGGAACUCCAACCAACUCCUGAGAUGGAAAUUCAACCAACUCCUCCUGUGGCAAAGGAAAAAGUUAGAAGGAAAAGAAAGCAGCCUUAUGAUACGACAACUGUUCUGAGCAACGAGUACGUUAAGAAUGCACUAGAAGAUACCAGUGAUAUCCUCCGGGAAAGAAGGAAUUGUCCCUUAACUUCUCUUUCAAUCUGGAAACGAAACAACAGGAGACGGUUAAGGAAGGAAGGUUUAUUUGUUGAACCCUAUGUAACCGGGUCUUCGGCUGAGCUGCAGGGUAUAUACAGUGAAGACUGUGCUAAAAAUCAUCUAGUUACCAUCCAGGAAACAUCUCAAGAGGCAAAUGUUGAAAAACCCUCUUCAUCUAGGCAUGACAACGAUAUUGAGAUUGAAGUCCUUCGCAAUAAUGAUCGUGCUUCACCAGAGAUAUUUAUGCCAUCCUUUUCUACUCCAGUACCUUCUCCAAGUGGAAGAAGCCAUUUCACUCCUGAUAAAUCCAAUGCUGAUUUGCUAUCCGAACACCUGGAAAUGACUGAUCGAACAUUACCAACAUCUGAUGUGGGAGCAUCUGGGAAUCUUGAUUCGGGAAUGAGAACCCCAGAUGCAUUCUGUGACAGUGAUAUGCGAUUUGACAACACAGUCCUUUCUGAUAUACCUGAGCUUGUGCCUUCCGGCGGAGAUCUUGGGUUUCUAGAGCAGGAUGACGAUUCUCCAGCUGGAUCGCAAGGAACACCACAAGUAGGUGUUUUCCCAGGGAAUCAAAGUACCCCAGAGCUUAGUGCAUUGUCUUCACGAACAAGGGCUGUAGCUCAGUACUUGAAAAAACAGUCAGCAACCCCUAUCUCAAGCAGUUUAGAAGAAUCGUCUGAAAAUCUCACUUUGGAAAAGAUUCUGAAUGACAAACCAAGAAAAAUAUGUGCGCGGAUGUUCUAUGAGACGUUGGUUUUGAAGAAUUGUGGGCUUGUAGAUGUUCGUCAAGAGAAACCUUACGAUGAUAUCGUUCUAAAGGUGACACCGAAGCUGUCGAAGGAGCAGUUCUCAGUCUAAUGAUGCACAUCUGUUUUGCAUGUAAAUUUAGGUAAGGGUUGAUUUUUUUAAAGGUGGAUCCAUGAAGGAUUAGUAGACUAAGGGGAAUCAUUGACCUUAAAUUAUUAUUCCUCGUAGAAUAACAUUGUGGAGGACUUUUCUCUUGUGAGAUUUUUGGGUUAGAAUUGUUCUUUAUUUUUUUACUUUUCCUUAUAAAUUAUCUUUAAUUCCUAGUUCCUACCAUAGCCUUAGGUAGAAUUGGAGUUGCAUAUUUCAAGUACAAUAUGUAUAUUAAUAAUCUUUAUUUUAUUUUGACAAGUAAGCUCAAGUGCCUGAUUCUCUAGGAAAAUCAAUUGUUUAUAAUAUUUCCUUUGGUAUAAAUAAAAAGAGAAGGAUUUCGUCAA